This is a non-coding RNA of Burkholderia vietnamiensis G4, 123 nucleotides long. NCBI's taxonomy places the organism in Bacteria, Pseudomonadati, Pseudomonadota, Betaproteobacteria, Burkholderiales, Burkholderiaceae. The record is from Rfam.
ACGACGAAACAGGGGUGCUUCGAGUGCGGCCAUGGGUAGUUCCGGGCAACGCUGCGAGGCUGAGAAAGACCCUUCGCACCCGAUCCGGGUAAUACCGGCGAGGGAAGUUUCUGAUCCCGCCGG